AGUAAAAGUCGUAACAAGGUUUCCGUAGGUGAACCUGCGGAAGGAUCAUUACCUUUGGCUGCCGUGAGCGCUUCGGCGUGAGCGACGGUCAUUCUAUAGUGACGCUCUGUCCGGGAAACCGGUGCAGGGCCGACCUAACCCUUCUUUACGCGUACCUUUUAUUCUCCUUCGGCGGGGUCAAACCCGCCGCUGGAACUUCAAAACCCAUUUGCAUCCAGCAUUAACUGUUCUGAUAACAUAUAAUUGUUACAACUUUCAACAAUGGAUCUCUUGGCUCUGGCAUCGAUGAAGAACGCAGCGAAAUGCGAUAAGUAGUGUGAAUUGCAGAAUUCGGUGAAUCAUCGAAUCUUUGAACGCACAUUGCGCCCCUUGGUAUUCCAUGGGGCAUGCCUGUUCGAGCGUCAUUUACACCCUCAAGCACUGCUUGGUGUUGGGCGUCUGUCCCGCCUUCGCGCGUGGACUCGCCCCAAAGACAUUGGCAGCGGUCUCUGGCACCUCAACGCGCAGUACAAUGCGUAUUUGGGGCGCCGUUGGUCGCAACCAUUAAGCUAUCACCGUCUUUGACCUCGGAUCAGGUAGGGAUACCCGCUGAACUUAAGCAUAUCAAUAAGCGGAGGA
Molecule: ribosomal RNA, 618 nt
Filed under: uncultured fungus
Lineage: Eukaryota; Fungi
Description: eukaryotic LSU rRNA
Rfam family: 5.8S ribosomal RNA (bases 251-404)
Source: RNAcentral